ACGGUGUUUCUGUCUUUCUGUAUGGCCUUUCGCGAUGAUCGUCUAAGGCUAGAAUGAUGAUACUGGAUUUUUGGAUUGGGGAUUUGAUGGUUGCUGUUAUUGUAUGAGUCGAAGAGGUAUUGAUUGAUUGUUGGUGUUGUGGAGAUCUGGUUUUGGGAAUGUUUGAACGUCGGUUGUAGAAAUGCUUCUGCUCCUGUAUGCUCUUCGAUGAUGGUAUUGGAAUGUUAGGUCGCGUCCAGUGUUCAAUAAAAAGAAUUACGUCCUCGUGAAAAACCGCAAUAACUUCCAAUUUCCGAAAAUCUCGCGGUCGUAAUUUGUACGACAGAAAUCAGUCUUACGGACGCAUCUUUUUGUUCCAGCCCGAUCUUACGUAACAGCGAAGUGUCGAGGCGACCAGCGUGCAUUUGUCGAAGCUCCCGUUGAAAUCUUAAUAACGCGUUUCUUUCGCAACUGGGUUCGCGCAAAUCGGGGAAAAAAUGUGAUUGUUGCGGGCCGGAUUGUGCGUAUCGUUGCCGAAGGUGUUCGACGGCGCGGGCGGCACGGGGAUUUCGUUGGGUUUUUGCGACCGUUAACAGGAUGCUUUCACCGGUGGCGUAAUGGGAAUCAUUUGGCUCGAUUAGCAUCAAAUUGACCGUGUCUUCGGAUCACGGUAAUACCGCCGGUCAUUCGCAAGUAUUGCGUCACGUGUAAAACCACGUCGCCUGAUAAUGACGAGAUGCGACGGUCGAUAAAGUAAGAGCAGCGACGAUCAACGAUGCUCGUUAUCGGUGGAGUUGCAGUUUUUCGGGCAACGUGAGGAUUCUUUAUCACGAAACGAUUGUAUACGCGGAAAGCCACUGUGAGAUUGAUCUACACGGAUACAAUAAGAAUAUUUUCUCUUUGUUAUAUAAUUACAAGGUUUUUACAAGGAAACAUGGCUACCAGGAAUUAUUAUGAGCUGCUUGAAUAUUAGAAGCUGCUCGAGGAAUCUUGUUUCAACGGAAAUGAGCUAAUCGAAAAAGUGUGCGCAUAAUUGAUAUUAGACAGAGAACGUCGAAUAUUGAAAUUUAUUAUCAUUAAAUUUGUCGAAAUCAUGGUGGACUACUUCUAGCAAAACGUUGAAUUGACUUUCAAAAUUUCAAAAGACAGCCUUCCCUCUGUAACGUGGCGUGUUAUUAAUGAUUUGAUACAAGAGGAAGCG
This is a non-coding RNA of Nomia melanderi (Alkali bee), 1180 nucleotides long. The record is from RefSeq and is a predicted model, not a curated record. Lineage: Eukaryota; Metazoa; Arthropoda; Insecta; Hymenoptera; Halictidae.